CUCUUUCUGUUUAUUUAGUAAGUAUAACCUGCCCACUGAGUAUUUUAAAGGGCCGCGGUAAUUUGACCGUGCAAAGGUAGCAUAAUCAUUAGUCUCUUAAUUAGGGGCUGGAAUGAAUGGUUGGACGAGAUAUAAACUGUCUUUUAACUUAAUUUAGAAUUUAAUUAUUAAGUGAAAAAGCUUAAAUUUAUUUAUGGGACGAGAAGACCCUAUAGAGUUUAAUUAAUAAAUAUGUAUAUUUUGUUUGAUAAGUUUAGUAUAUAUUUAUUAAUUUUGUUGGGGUGAUGAGGAGAAAAAAUUAACUCUCUUUUUUGUUUAAUAUUGAUUUAUAGGUGUUUGAUCCAAUAUUAUUGAUUAUAAGACUAAAUUACCUUAGGGAUAACAGCGUAAUCUUUUUUGAGAGUUCAUAUCGACAUAAGGGAUUGCGACCUCGAUGUUGGAUUAAGGUAAACAUUAGGUGUAGAAGCUUAAUAUGUUAGGUCUGUUCGACCUUUAAAAUCUUACA
This 505-nucleotide ribosomal RNA is filed under the name Loboptera decipiens. RNAcentral's name for it is "partial 16S ribosomal RNA". It matches the Rfam family "Bacterial large subunit ribosomal RNA", at positions 1831 to 2600 of the family's 2925-position model. The record is from RNAcentral. Lineage: Eukaryota; Metazoa; Arthropoda; Insecta; Blattodea; Blattellidae.